RNAcentral lists this transfer RNA (67 nucleotides) under Hygrotus fontinalis. RNAcentral's name for it is "transfer RNA-Leu". The record is from RNAcentral. Lineage: Eukaryota; Metazoa; Arthropoda; Insecta; Coleoptera; Dytiscidae.
AAUUAUUACUUUGGCAGAUUAGUGCAAUAAAUUUAGAAUUUAUGAAUGUAAGUUUUUACAAGUAAUA